GUAGGUGGCAAGCGUUGUCCGGAAUUAUUGGGCGUAAAGCGCGCGCAGGCGGUCCUUUAAGUCUGAUGUGAAAGCCCACGGCUCAACCGUGGAGGGUCAUUGGAAACUGGGGGACUUGAGUACAGAAGAGGAAAGCGGAAUUCCAAGUGUAGCGGUGAAAUGCGUAGAGAUUUGGAGGAACACAAGUGGCGAAGGCGGCUUUCUGGUCUGUAACUGACGCUGAGGCGCGAAAGCGUGGGGAGCAAACAGGAUUAGAUACCCUGGUAGUCCACGCCGUAAACGAUGAGUGCUAAGUGUUAGGGGGUUUCCCGCCCCCCUUAGUGCUGCAGCUAACGCAUUAAGCACUCCGCCUGGGGAGUACGGCCGCAAGGCUG
This 374-nucleotide ribosomal RNA is filed under the name uncultured organism. Its description in RNAcentral is "partial 16S ribosomal RNA". It matches the Rfam family "Bacterial small subunit ribosomal RNA", at positions 527 to 896 of the family's 1533-position model. The record is from RNAcentral.